AGGACGAACGCUGGCGGCGUGCCUAACACAUGCAAGUUGAGCGACGAACCGGGGCUUGCCCCGGGGCAAAGCAGCGAACGGGUGAGUAACACGUGGAUAACGUACCCCGAUAACCGGGACAACCCGAGGAAACUCGAGCUAAUACCGGAUGUGCCCAUCACACACCAGUGUGAUGUGUAAAGGAAGCUUCGGCCUCCGUAUCGGGAGCGGUCCGCGGCCCAUUAGCUAGUUGGUGAGGUAACGGCUCACCAAGGCAACGAUGGGUAGCUGGUCUGAGAGGACGAUCAGCCACACUGGGACUGAGACACGGCCCAGACUCCUACGGGAGGCAGCAGUGGGGAAUAUUGCGCAAUGGGCGGAAGCCUGACGCAGCGACGCCGCGUGGGGGAUGACGGCCUUCGGUUGUAACCUCUUUCGCCAGGGACGAAGAGAAUUGACGGUACCUGGAUAAGAAGCACCGGCCAACUACGUGCCAGCAGCCGC
RNAcentral lists this ribosomal RNA (483 nucleotides) under uncultured bacterium. RNAcentral describes it as "SSU rRNA". It matches the Rfam family "Bacterial small subunit ribosomal RNA", at positions 26 to 518 of the family's 1533-position model. The record is from RNAcentral.